UUGGAGGGCAAGUCUGGUGCCAGCAGCCGCGGUAAUUCCAGCUCCAAUAGCGUAUAUUAAAGUUGUUGCAGUUAAAAAGCUCGUAGUUGAAUUUCGGGAUCAAGGAAUCGGUCAUGCCUUGGUAUGUACUGGUUUUAUUGGUUCUCACCUUCUAAAGAACCAUAAUGUCAUUUAUUUGAUGUUAUGGGGAAUUAGGACUGUUACCUUGAAAAAAUUAGAGUGUUUAAAGCAAGCUUACGCUUGAAUACAUUAGCAUGGAAUAAUGAAAUAGGACAUCAGAUUCUAUUUUGUUGGUUUCUAGGAUCGAUGUAAUGAUUAAUAGGGAUAGUUGGGGGCAUUAGUAUUCAAUUGUCAGAGGUGAAAUUCUUGGAUUUAUUGAAGACUAACUACUGCGAAAGCAUUUGCCAAGGAUGUUUUCAUUAAUCAAGAACGAAAGUUAGGGGAUCGAAGACGAUCAGAUACCGUCGUAGUCUUAACCAUAAACUAUGCCGACUAGGGAUCGGAUGAUGUUAAUUUUUUAAUGACUCAUUCGGCACCUUACGGGAAACCAAAGUGUUUGGGUUC
RNAcentral lists this ribosomal RNA (564 nucleotides) under uncultured Glomeromycotina. RNAcentral describes it as "SSU rRNA". It matches the Rfam family "Eukaryotic small subunit ribosomal RNA", at positions 548 to 1114 of the family's 1831-position model. Lineage: Eukaryota; Fungi; Glomeromycota. The record is from RNAcentral.